AAAUUGAAGAGUUUGAUCAUGGCUCAGAUUGAACGCUGGCGGCAGGCCUAACACAUGCAAGUCGAACGGUAACAGGAAGCAGCUUGCUGCUUUGCUGACGAGUGGCGGACGGGUGAGUAAUGUCUGGGAAACUGCCCGAUGGAGGGGGAUAACUACUGGAAACGGUAGCUAAUACCGCAUAACGUCGCAAGACCAAAGAGGGGGACCUUAGGGCCU
Molecule: ribosomal RNA, 216 nt
Filed under: Escherichia coli
Lineage: Bacteria; Pseudomonadati; Pseudomonadota; Gammaproteobacteria; Enterobacterales; Enterobacteriaceae
Description: partial 16S ribosomal RNA
Rfam family: Bacterial small subunit ribosomal RNA
Source: RNAcentral